UUUGCUGACGAGUGGCGCACGGGUGAGUAAUAUAUAGGUAACGUGCCUCUUAGUCUGGGAUAGCCAUUGGAAACGAUGAUUAAUACUAGAUACUCCUUCUCAUUAUAAUUUGAGUCGGGAAAGUUUUUCGCUAAGAGAUCGGCCUAUAUCCCAUCAGUUAGUUGGUAAGGUAACGGCUUACCAAGGCAAUGACGGGUAGCGGGUUUGAGAGGAUGAUCCGCCACACUGGUACUGAGACACGGACCAGACUCCUACGGGAGGCAGCAGUGAGGAAUAUUGCACAAUGGAGGAAACUCUGAUGCAGCAACGCCGCGGGGAGGAUGACGCAUUUCGGUGUGUAAACUCCUUUUAUAAGGGAAGAAAAUGACGGUACCUUAUGAAUAACCCCCGGCUAACUCCGUGCCAGCAGCCGCGGUAAUACGGAGGGUGCAAGCGUUACUCGGAAUCACUGGGCGUAAAGGACACGUAGGCGGGUUGUCAAGUCAGGUGUGAAAUCCUACAGCUUAACUGUAGAACUGCACUUGAAACUGGCAACCUAGAGUAUGGGAGGGGGAGAUGGAAUUAGUGGUGUAGGGGUAAAAUCCGUAGAUAUCACUAGGAAUUACCGAAAGCCGAAGGCGAUCUCCCUGGAACAUUUACUGACGCCUAAGGUGUGAAAAGCGUGGGGAGCAAACGGGAUUUAGAUACCCCCGCGUAGUCCCACGCCCUAAAAACCGAUGAAACCACCUAGGUCGUCGGGGAUGGCUUAGGUCCAUCCUCGGGUGAAUGCACUUUAAACAGAAUUUAAG
RNAcentral lists this ribosomal RNA (788 nucleotides) under uncultured bacterium. Its description in RNAcentral is "bacterial SSU rRNA". It matches the Rfam family "Bacterial small subunit ribosomal RNA", at positions 84 to 864 of the family's 1533-position model. The record is from RNAcentral.